ACGAACGCUGGCGGCGUGCUUAACACCUGCAAGUCGAACGGUGAAGCGAGUGCUUGCACUCGUGGAUCAGUGGCGAACGGGUGAGUAACACGUGAGUAACCUGCCCAUCACUCUGGGAUAAGCACUGGAAACGGUGUCUAAUACUGGAUACGACCAACCCUUGCAUGGGGUGUUGGUGGAAAGAUUUAUCGGUGAUGGAUGGACUCGCGGCCUAUCAGCUUGUUGGCGGGGUAAUGGCCCACCAAGGCGACGACGGGUAGCCGGCCUGAGAGGGUGACCGGCCACACUGGGACUGAGACACGGCCCAGACUCCUACGGGAGGCAGCAGUGGGGAAUAUUGCACAAUGGGCGAAAGCCUGAUGCAGCGACGCCGCGUGAGGGAUGACGGCCUUCGGGUUGUAAACCUCUUUCAGCAGGGAAGAAGCGAAAGUGACGGUACCUGCAGAAGAAGCACCGGCUAACUACGUG
Molecule: ribosomal RNA, 468 nt
Filed under: uncultured bacterium
Lineage: Bacteria
Description: partial 16S ribosomal RNA
Rfam family: Bacterial small subunit ribosomal RNA
Source: RNAcentral